RNAcentral lists this ribosomal RNA (470 nucleotides) under Bacillus licheniformis. Its description in RNAcentral is "bacterial SSU rRNA". It matches the Rfam family "Bacterial small subunit ribosomal RNA", at positions 16 to 478 of the family's 1533-position model. The record is from RNAcentral. Lineage: Bacteria; Bacillati; Bacillota; Bacilli; Caryophanales; Bacillaceae.
AUCCUGGCUCAGGACGAACGCUGGCGGCGUGCCUAAUACAUGCAAGUCGAGCGGACAGAUGGGAGCUUGCUCCCUGAUGUYAGCGGCGGACGGGUGAGUAACACGUGGGUAACCUGCCUGUAAGACUGGGAUAACUCCGGGAAACCGGGGCUAAUACCGGAUGCUUGAUUGAACCGCAUGGYUCAAUUAUAAAAGGUGGCUUUUAGCUACCACUUACAGAUGGACCCGCGGCGCAUUAGCUAGUUGGUGAGGUAACGGCUCACCAAGGCRACGAUGCGUAGCCGACCUGAGAGGGUGAUCGGCCACACUGGGACUGAGACACGGCCCAGACUCCUACGGGAGGCAGCAGUAGGGAAUCUUCCGCAAUGGACGAAAGUCUGACGGAGCAACGCCGCGUGAGUGAUGAAGGUUUUCGGAUCGUAAAACUCUGUUGUUAGGGAAGAACAAGUACCGUUCGAAUAGGGCGGUAC